UCUUCCCCUGCUUGUCACCUGGUUGGGAACCUUUAGAGGCAGCUCAUCUUUGCAUCUCCCCAUCACAGGGAGCAGUGGUUUUGGUACCCACAGGACUUAGCCUUUGGUUUGCAUCUGUCCUUCAGAGGAGGAGGAUACAGAGGCUGGUUUUGAGAUUAUUUGGAGCUGGUGAUCAGUGAGGUCUCUUUAAGCUGAUUGAGCCAACUGUGCUGACUUAGUCAGUUAACCUAGAUAAAUACCACUCUGAGUUUUCUUUUUUCAUUUAAGAAAAAUAGUGUCAGAGUACAGGAUGGACUCCCCCAGUGGGAGAGCUGACACCAUGUAAAUGAUUCAUUAGCAGAUGCUUUAGCUGAACCUCAGCUGUUUUCACCAGUGACGUCGAUGUGACGGAGAUAUUUGUUCAGGUGAUGGGACUUGAGUGGGCCUUGGGCCAGACCUCCACCCCCAGGGACCACCCUUCUAGCACUGAAAGGCAAUAGUCUUCACACUGGCUGAAUCCUGUAUUUUCUCAAUCCUCCAAAUCCGACCAACUUCUCUAAAUUGUACUGCAAGGUUUUGGCAGCCAGAGCUCCCACUCCUUGCCACCAUCCCACCGCCACCACUGGAGGUGCUGAAGGCCAAGUACAAGCCAUCCGGGUGGAAACCUGUAUUUGAAGGUCUGCACCGCGGGGCAAAGGGCCAGCUUGUUCCCUCUGCAACUGGAUGAGCUGAAUUGGCAGCAGACAACCAGCGUUUCUCAGGAAGCUGUACCAACAAGAUGCAAAAGGGAGAGGUGGAGCAGAGGAGGGCAGUUCAUGAGCUGAUUGUGCUAAGCCCUGUCAAAUAAUCCUUUAGAAACCCGAUGGUAAUCAAUGCCACCCAAGGGCACCACAUGUGCCAAUAAAAACCUCUUGCAUUUUGGCUAAA
This is a long non-coding RNA of Homo sapiens (human), 906 nucleotides long. RefSeq lists it as uncharacterized. The transcript has 2 exons. The record is from RefSeq and is a predicted model, not a curated record. NCBI's taxonomy places the organism in Eukaryota, Metazoa, Chordata, Mammalia, Primates, Hominidae.